Molecule: ribosomal RNA, 961 nt
Filed under: uncultured bacterium
Lineage: Bacteria
Description: bacterial SSU rRNA
Rfam family: Bacterial small subunit ribosomal RNA
Source: RNAcentral
GACGUAGGGGGCAAGCGUUGUCCGGAAUUACUGGGCGUAAGGGGCGUGCAGGCGGUGCGGUACGUAGCGGUUUUAAGCCUCCGGCUCACCCGGAGGAGGGCGGCUAAACGGCAGCACUAGAGGGCAGGAGAGGUGCGCGGAAUUCCUGGUGGAGCGGUGAAAUGCGUAGAGAUCAGGAAGAACACCGGUGGCGAAGGCGGCGCACUGGCCUGGCCCUGACGCUGAGGCGCGACAGCGUGGGGAGCAAACGGGAUUAGAUACCCCGGUAGUCCACGCCGUAAACGAUGGAUACUAGGUGUCGGGGGUCCACCUCGCGGUGCCGGAGCUAACGCACUAAGUAUCCCGCCUGGGGAGUACGGCCGCAAGGUUGAAACUCAAAGGAAUUGACGGGGGCCCGCACAAGCAGUGGAGCAUGUGGUUUAAUUCGACGCAACGCGCAGAACCUUACCAGGACUAGACGGGAUCGUGAGCGCCGCGAAAGCGGCGGGCCCUUCGGGGAGCGAUCGUCAGGUGCUGCAUGGUUGUCGUCAGCUCGUGUCGUGAGAUGUUGGGUUAAGUCCCGCAACGAGCGCAACCCUUGUCGUGUGUUGCCAGCGGUCCGGCCGGGCACUCACACGAGACUGCCGGUGACAAACCGGAGGAAGGUGGGGAUGACGUCAAAUCCGCAUGGCCUUGAUGUCCUGGGCUACACACGUGCUACAAUGGUCCCGACAACGGGCCGCGACGGCGCGAGCCUGAGCGAAUCCUUCAAACGGGACCUCAGUUCGGAUUGCAGGCUGCAACCCGCCUGCAUGAAGUCGGAAUUGCUAGUAAUCGCCCAUCAGCAUGGGGCGGUGAAUUCGUUCCCGGGCCUUGUACACACCGCCCGUCACACCACGAAAGUUGGCCACACCCGAAGCCGGGCGGUCCAACUGCCGCAAGGCAGAGGAUCCCGUCGACGGUGGGGCGGAUGAUUGGGGUG